GGAGGAGUGGCAGAGCGGUUGAAUGCGGCGGUCUUGAAAACCGUUGUACCCUUACGGGUACCGUGGGUUCGAAUCCUACCUCCUCCGCCA
Molecule: transfer RNA, 90 nt
Filed under: Candidatus Omnitrophota bacterium
Lineage: Bacteria; Pseudomonadati; Candidatus Omnitrophota
Description: tRNA-Ser
Rfam family: tRNA
About the family: Transfer RNA (tRNA) molecules are approximately 80 nucleotides in length. Their secondary structure includes four short double-helical elements and three loops (D, anti-codon, and T loops).
Source: RNAcentral